AGCCUUCUGUAUCCGUGCUGAGAUUUCGUCACACACCAGACCACAAGAGCUGAUGAGACCAUUAUAAACUAAUUA
Molecule: non-coding RNA, 75 nt
Organism: Schistosoma haematobium
Lineage: Eukaryota; Metazoa; Platyhelminthes; Trematoda; Strigeidida; Schistosomatidae
Source: Rfam